This 652-nucleotide ribosomal RNA is filed under the name Triodia glabra. RNAcentral's name for it is "eukaryotic LSU rRNA". Lineage: Eukaryota; Viridiplantae; Streptophyta; Magnoliopsida; Poales; Poaceae. The record is from RNAcentral.
AACCUGCGGAAGGAUCAUUGUCGUGACCCUGACCAAAACAGACCGCGAACGUGUCAUCCAUGCCGCCGGGUGACGGGGCUUGCAACCGUCUCCCGGUACAGGCCAUYGACCUUCUUACGGAGGGGAGUGGCCUSAAAAGAACCCACGGCGCCGUAUGGCGUCAAGGAACACUCAUAUUGCCUUGCUCGGGGUUACGAUCGGCCUGCCGGUCAAGCCCCGUGCGGUGAUGCUUUGUUAAUCCAUAUGACUCUCGGCAACGGAUAUCUCGGCUCUCGCAUCGAUGAAGAACGUAGCAAAAUGCGAUACCUGGUGUGAAUUGCAGAAUCCCGUGAACCAUCAAGUUUUUGAACGCAAGUUGCGCCCGAGGCCUUCUGGUCGAGGGCACGUCUGCCUGGGCGUCACGCCAAAAGACACUCCCCACCCAUUCUCGGUGAGGACGUGGAGUCUGGCUCCUCGUGCUGCAGUGCACGGUGAGCCAAAGUUUGGGCUGCCGGCGGUGCCGACCACAGCACAAGGUGGAUGACUCAUGUCGUUCUCGGUGCUAUGACCUGCACUGCUACCGGCGAUGAUACGGCCCUCUGGACCCAUGGACCGAAGCGCAAAUUGCUCGGACCGCGACCCCAGGUCAGUCGGGAUUACCCGCUGAAUUUAA